RNAcentral lists this ribosomal RNA (371 nucleotides) under uncultured bacterium. RNAcentral describes it as "partial 16S ribosomal RNA". It matches the Rfam family "Bacterial small subunit ribosomal RNA", at positions 338 to 706 of the family's 1533-position model. The record is from RNAcentral.
CCUACGGGAGGCAGCAGUGAGGAAUAUUGGUCAAUGGGCGCGAGCCUGAACCAGCCAAGUAGCGUGAAGGAUGACUGCCCUACGGGUUGUAAACUUCUUUUAUCAAGGAAUAAAGUGAGGCACGUGUGCCUUUUUGUAUGUACUUUAUGAAUAAGGAUCGGCUAACUCCGUGCCAGCAGCCGCGGUAAUACGGAGGAUCCGAGCGUUAUCCGGAUUUAUUGGGUUUAAAGGGAGCGUAAAUGGGUUGUUAAGUCAGUUGUGAAAGUUUGCGGCUAAACCGUAAAAUUGCAAUUGAUACUGCAAGCCUUGAGUACAGUGAGGGUAGGCGGAAUUCGGGGUGUAGCGGUGAAAGGCUUAGAUAUCACGAAGAA